This 162-nucleotide ribosomal RNA is filed under the name Epilasia hemilasia. Its description in RNAcentral is "5.8S ribosomal RNA". It matches the Rfam family "5.8S ribosomal RNA". From Rfam's summary of the family: 5.8S ribosomal RNA (5.8S rRNA) is a component of the large subunit of the eukaryotic ribosome. It is transcribed by RNA polymerase I as part of the 45S precursor that also contains 18S and 28S rRNA. Functionally, it is thought that 5.8S rRNA may be involved in ribosome translocation. The record is from RNAcentral. Lineage: Eukaryota; Viridiplantae; Streptophyta; Magnoliopsida; Asterales; Asteraceae.
GCAACGGAUAUCUCGGCUCACGCAUCGAUGAAGAACGUAGCAAAAUGCGAUACUUGGUGUGAAUUGCAGAAUCCCGUGAACCAUCGAGUUUUUGAACGCAAGUUGCGCCCAAAGCCAUCCGGCAGAGGGCACGCCUGCCUGGGCGUCACGCAUCGCGUCGCU